Molecule: ribosomal RNA, 253 nt
Filed under: uncultured bacterium
Lineage: Bacteria
Description: partial 16S ribosomal RNA
Rfam family: Bacterial small subunit ribosomal RNA
Source: RNAcentral
UACGAAGGGGGCUAGCGUUGCUCGGAAUGACUGGGCGUAAAGGGCGCGUAGGCGGCUCAUACAGUCAGAUGUGAAAUUCCUGGGCUUAACCUGGGGGCUGCAUUUGAUACGUGUGGGCUUGAGUGGGGAAGAGGGUCGUGGAAUUCCCAGUGUAGAGGUGAAAUUCGUAGAUAUUGGGAAGAACACCGGUGGCGAAGGCGGCCCACUGGUCCGGUACUGACGCUGAGGUGCGAAAGCGUGGGGAGCAAACAGG